This 367-nucleotide long non-coding RNA is filed under the name Brassica napus (rape). RNAcentral describes it as "long non-coding RNA (BNAP_LNC001896)". Lineage: Eukaryota; Viridiplantae; Streptophyta; Magnoliopsida; Brassicales; Brassicaceae. The record is from RNAcentral.
AGCAGAGAAUACUUAGAUCAAGCAUCACAUGACACAACACAACUUCGCCAGUCUCCAAAUUGUCAGCUUUAUAUAAUAGCCCGCAACUCACAAGUAACAACCACAAGAUGCAAGACACACAACAUACUCGGCUCGUUUUUGUUUGCAAGGCUUAUUCCGAUAUAUUAAAUUAUUAGUAGACUGUAGAGUCAUCAACUCACCUAAAGGCUAAAACCACAUGCUUAAUAACAAAUAAAUCUAUUUUAUAUGGGGUUUUCAAUUACUUUCUUAAUUAUAUCCCAAAGACAUGAUUUAUGAAAUGUAUACUAUUUUAAAGACCCACACCAAAUACCGAGUUAACCCACUAUAAAACGCAAAGUUGUCUCUG